Small nucleolar RNA from Lutra lutra (Eurasian river otter), 88 nucleotides. RefSeq annotates it as small nucleolar RNA U105B. The record is from RefSeq and is a predicted model, not a curated record. NCBI's taxonomy places the organism in Eukaryota, Metazoa, Chordata, Mammalia, Carnivora, Mustelidae. The transcript has a single exon.
UCACGUGCGGCUGACGAUCGAUCGAUCGCGCUGCGGCUGAGGCGCUGUGAUUGCUCAGUCUCAAAGUAAACUCUCUGAUGCCCUGUGG